This 2131-nucleotide long non-coding RNA is filed under the name Nicotiana benthamiana. RNAcentral's name for it is "long non-coding RNA (NBEN_LNC032864)". The record is from RNAcentral. Lineage: Eukaryota; Viridiplantae; Streptophyta; Magnoliopsida; Solanales; Solanaceae.
UAACGAACAGAUUCAAAACAGUCUUAUUAAUGAGGCAUGUUCAAUUCUAUUAACUACUGCUAUGAACUAUUAAUCCAGAAUUACCAACACUUAUAUUAUAACAAUGAAUUCCGGGCCAUUAAACUUAAAGUGGCCAUCAUACUGAUUUCAAAAUCAACUGCAUCCUAGAAAAACAGUCUAGUAUAAUGUAUAUGACAGGAAACUGAGAUUCUAUUAAUCAACAUAAGUUAUAUCAGAUUGUUAGAUAUAGAAUGCUUCCAGGAAUACACAUCUAAUUAGUUCAGCUAAAUAAUAUUGAUGUUCUAAAUUCUAGAAUCUAUUAUAACAGCCCAACACAAUCCACAAAUUAAAACAAAGAGUCCAAACAAUUGUCCUAAUUAUAAUUAAGCAAGAACAGCUACUACGUAUGGAAGGCUAAUCAAACAUUCAAAAAAACUCAGAUUACAAGUAAAAUUCUGCUUCAUUGAUUUCCUCAAAUGGUUCAUAUACGUAAAUCAAGCCUUCUGUUCAGUAGAGGUGGUGAAAGUGUACCUGGAUAUGGAAUUUUUAACAGCAGAAGAAGAUCAGCAGUAGCAACAUAACAGCAAACCAAGAGAUAAGCAAACAACAACAAUGCACAGCCUAGAAAAAUGGUUUGAAACCAGACGAAAAUGAGAGAUCAACUCGAAUCAGUUCCAAAACAGGCCCAAAGACCUUGAAAAUUACCCAGAAUACAUUCAACACUUCCAGCAAAACCCAAUCUCGAUCAAGCCUAGCUUAAUUUGACAUACACCCACUCAAAAUUAGCUCAUAUGUCACUGAAACCUCAAUCACCAGACCUUGAACUAUGAAAACUUGAAAUUAAACUUAAAAUUCCAAUGCACUAAUUGUUUUUUUGUUUUUCUAUUAGAUUUUCUAUUGUUUUUUUGUUAUUGGAAUUUAAAUUUUAAAAUCUAGAUCUGAAAAUGAGCAUAUGCCUUUGGGGGAAGUUUUUGAUGGCCGCUGAACUUGUCAUGAAGGCAAGGUACAUCCCUGUUAUAAGCAUAGAGGAGGGCGGCCUCACCAUUUCAGUUUGCACAUUCAGUCCCUCAUUAUUUUCAACUUUGGUCUUUUUACUCAUUGACUUGUUACCAAGUUACACUCUUACUUUACUGAAAUGUACCUUAACACCCACAUCUAGAAGGUUCUAGGAAAUUUUAGUUAAGUUCCAUACUCCUGAAUUGCCCCAAUUGCCAUUAUUUAUCCUAAAAUUACUGGUCAAGUACAGCUAUUCCAAAAAAAUCCUAAGAUCUGAAUUUCAACUAGAAAAAAUGUAAUCCCAAUUCAACUAUUAACUAAUAUAUCUAUUGAAACCAUUUAACAGCAACAAUCAUUAAAACUAAUCACAAACUGAAACUUAAUCAGAAUAAAUGACAUUCAAAUAUUCAUUGACUAACAGACUCAUAAGUCACCAAACAGAAAAAAUUGAGGCCAAUCCAACUAUUAACGAAACAUAAACUAACACCUAUAAACUAAGAUGAAUCAGCAAAUAAGAACCAAGAUGAAACAAAUUUUGAGACGAAAUUGAAGAAACUUAAUGACUUUCAGGUUAAAAAUUAUUAACAAAAAAUGAAAAUUAAGAUAAUGGCAAACAGAAGAAGAAAAAAGAAAACAAAACGGGAAACUUACUGGGGUAUUUUCAAACAGGCUAAGGUCCCGAUUUGAAAUUAAUUCAAUUCCGGUGAGACUUGAGUGUUAUUUCCGCUAGAUUCUUCAUGCAAGGGACAAGGAAGUUGCAUAAUAUCCAUUUGAAAAAGUUUGGGGAACUAGUGUUUUUGUCCGGAAAAGUUCAAAUCAAAAUUCGAACAAUUCUGGCCAUAUUUGAGAGUCAAGGCUUUGAGGGUUCGAUAGAGGAGGUCCACGCGGAUUUGGGGUGUUAAUUUUGGCAAGUUUGGGUGAGGUAGUGACUUGGCCGGAGAAUUUAAAAUCAAGAUUCGAAGACUUGGAAAAGGAUUCAAGGGACAUGAAUGGUGGAUUCAGAUAGAGGAGGAAGAGGGGAAUUUGGGGUGUUAUUUUGCGGCGGAUUGGCGGUGGUGGCAUUCACCGGCGGUGAUGGAAAACUAGGGCGGCGCCUGCUAAGGUUUCUGUAAGAAGGGAGACAAAGAAGACUAAA